RNAcentral lists this ribosomal RNA (417 nucleotides) under Triticum aestivum (bread wheat). RNAcentral's name for it is "partial small subunit ribosomal RNA". Lineage: Eukaryota; Viridiplantae; Streptophyta; Magnoliopsida; Poales; Poaceae. The record is from RNAcentral.
AUGGCGGCGAAAGAAUCCGAAGGGUUGACCGACGGCGGCACGGCGCCGCCCACGUCCGCGUCUCUCCCGGCGGCCCAGGAGGCCAGCAUCGCGGGGCAGUACAGCGCGAUGGAUAUCAGAGGUGGCAAGACGGGGGAGGAGGCCGAGGUCUCACGCUUGACCUCGCGGUUCGCGUCGCUGCGCGAUCGGGAAGAGCGGCUGGCCGAGAUCGCCGGCGGCCUGCGCCUGAUCAAAGAGAAGCGCGGGUCGAGGCCUCCCACCUACAUCGAGCUGGCCGCCGCCGUCCUCUUGCAAGACAGCGUUGCCGCCGCCCUCGAAGGCCGCCCCACCUCCUCGACGUGCAGUGGUUGCUGGAAUAGGCGGCUGUUUUCAUUAUUGUUAAUUAACAAACCGCUAGCAGUAUAUUAUCUAAUUUAA